RNAcentral lists this ribosomal RNA (429 nucleotides) under uncultured Acidobacterium sp. RNAcentral's name for it is "bacterial SSU rRNA". It matches the Rfam family "Bacterial small subunit ribosomal RNA", at positions 958 to 1385 of the family's 1533-position model. Lineage: Bacteria; Pseudomonadati; Acidobacteriota; Terriglobia; Terriglobales; Acidobacteriaceae. The record is from RNAcentral.
AACGCGAAGAACCUUACCUGGGCUCGAAAUGCAGGAGGCCGGGGUAGAAAUAUCCCUUUCUCGCAAGAGACUGCUGUAUAGGUGCUGCAUGGCUGUCGUCAGCUCGUGUCGUGAGAUGUUGGGUUAAGUCCCGCAACGAGCGCAACCCUCAUCCCUAGUUGCCACCGGGUAAUGCCGAGCACUCUAGUGAAACCGCCCCGGAUAACGGGGAGGAAGGUGGGGAUGACGUCAAGUCCUCAUGGCCUUUAUGUCCAGGGCUACACACGUGCUACAAUGGUCGGUACAAACCGUCGCAAAGCUGCAAAGUGGAGCUAAUCGGAAAAAGCCGGCCUCAGUUCGGAUUGGAGUCUGCAACUCGACUCCAUGAAGCUGGAAUCGCUAGUAAUCGCAGAUCAGAACGCUGCGGUGAAUACGUUCCCGGGCCUUGUA